GGUGUUGCAUGGCUGUCGUCAGCUCGUGUCGUGAGAUGUUGGGUUAAGUCCUGCAACGAGCGCAACCCUUAUCUUUAGUUGCCAUCAGGUUGGGCUGGGCACUCUAGAGAGACUGCCGGUGACAAGCCGGAGGAAGGUGGGGAUGACGUCAAGUCCUCAUGGCCCUUAUGUCCUGGGCUACACACGUGCUACAAUGGCGGUGACAGUGGGAAGCUAGGUGGUGACACCAUGCUGAUCUCUAAAAGCCGUCUCAGUUCGGAUUGCACUCUGCAACUCGAGUGCAUGAAGGUGGAAUCGCUAGUAAUCGUGGAUCAGCACGCCACGGUGAAUACGUUCCCGGGUCUUGUACACAC
This 353-nucleotide ribosomal RNA is filed under the name uncultured bacterium. RNAcentral describes it as "bacterial SSU rRNA". It matches the Rfam family "Bacterial small subunit ribosomal RNA", at positions 1037 to 1390 of the family's 1533-position model. The record is from RNAcentral.